GGCCUCGUGGCCUAAUGGCUAGGGCGCUAGAUUUCGGUUUGCAAUGCUGAUUCUCUAGAGAUUGUCGGUUCGAGUCCGGCCGAGGUCG
Molecule: transfer RNA, 88 nt
Filed under: Xylaria sp. FL1777
Lineage: Eukaryota; Fungi; Ascomycota; Sordariomycetes; Xylariales; Xylariaceae
Description: tRNA-Arg
Rfam family: tRNA
About the family: Transfer RNA (tRNA) molecules are approximately 80 nucleotides in length.
Source: RNAcentral